RNAcentral lists this ribosomal RNA (450 nucleotides) under uncultured bacterium. RNAcentral's name for it is "partial 16S ribosomal RNA". It matches the Rfam family "Bacterial small subunit ribosomal RNA", at positions 354 to 796 of the family's 1533-position model. The record is from RNAcentral.
GUGGGGAAUCUUCCGCAAUGGACGAAAGUCUGACGGAGCAACGCCGCGUGAGUGAAGAAGGUUUUCGGAUCGUAAAGCUCUUUCGUUAGGGACGAACGUGCUCUUUGUAAAUAAUGAGGAGUAAUGACGGUACCUAAAUAAGAAGCCACGGCUAACUACGUGCCAGCAGCCGCGGUAAUACGUAGGUGGCAAGCGUUGUCCGGAAUUAUUGGGCGUAAAGCGCGCGCAGGCGGGAUAUCAAGUCUGUCUUAAAAGUGCGAGGCUCAACCUCGUGAGGGGACAGAAACUGGUAUUCUUGAGUGUCGGAGAGGAAAGUGGAAUUCCAAGUGUAGCGGUGAAAUGCGUAGAGAUUUGGAAGAACACCAGUGGCGAAGGCGACUUUCUGGACGAUGUCUGACGCUGAGGCGCGAAAGCUAGGGGAGCGAACGGGAUUAGAUACCCUGGUAGUCC